RNAcentral lists this transfer RNA (72 nucleotides) under Nanobdellota archaeon. RNAcentral describes it as "tRNA-Thr". It matches the Rfam family "tRNA". From Rfam's summary of the family: Transfer RNA (tRNA) molecules are approximately 80 nucleotides in length. Their secondary structure includes four short double-helical elements and three loops (D, anti-codon, and T loops). The record is from RNAcentral. Lineage: Archaea; Nanobdellati; Nanobdellota.
GCCUCUGUGGCUCAGCGGUAGAGCACGACAUUGGUAAUGUCGGGGUCCCGGGUUCAAUUCCCGGCAGAGGCU